RNAcentral lists this ribosomal RNA (501 nucleotides) under uncultured bacterium. RNAcentral's name for it is "partial 16S ribosomal RNA". It matches the Rfam family "Bacterial small subunit ribosomal RNA", at positions 30 to 523 of the family's 1533-position model. The record is from RNAcentral.
AUUGAACGCUGGCGGCAUGCCUUACACAUGCAAGUCGAACGGCAGCACGGGUGCUUGCACCUGGUGGCGAGUGGCGAACGGGUGAGUAAUACAUCGGAACGUACCUUAUCGUGGGGGAUAACGCAGCGAAAGUUGCGCUAAUACCGCAUACGCCCUGAGGGGGAAAGCGGGGGACCGUAAGGCCUCGCGCGAUUAGAGCGGCCGAUGUCUGAUUAGCUUGUUGGUGGGGUAAAAGCUUACCAAGGAGAUGAUCAGUAGCUGGUCUGAGAGGACGAUCAGCCACACUGGGGCUGAGACACGGCCCAGACUCCUACGGGAGGCAGCAGUGGGGAAUUUUGGACAAUGGGGGCAACCCUGAUCCAGCAAUGCCGCGUGAGUGAAGAAGGCCUUCGGGUUGUAAAGCUCUUUUGUCAGGGAAGAAACAGCAGCUCUAACACAGUCUGCGAAUGACGGUACCUGAAGAAUAAGCACCGGCUAACUACGUGCCAGCCGCCGCAGUAA